GACGAACGCUGGCGGCGUGCUUAACACAUGCAAGUCGAACGGAAAGGCCCUGCUUUUGUGGGGUGCUCGAGUGGCGAACGGGUGAGUAACACGUGAGUAACCUGCCCUUGACUUUGGGAUAACUUCAGGAAACUGGGGCUAAUACCGGAUAGGAGCUCCUGCUGCAUGGUGGGGGUUGGAAAGUUUCGGCGGUUGGGGAUGGACUCGCGGCUUAUCAGCUUGUUGGUGGGGUAGUGGCUUACCAAGGCUUUGACGGGUAGCCGGCCUGAGAGGGUGACCGGCCACAUUGGGACUGAGAUACGGCCUGAACUCCUACGGGAGGCAGCAGUGGGGAAUAUUGCACAGUGGGCGGAAGCCUGAUGCAGCAACGCCGCGUGCGGGAUGACGGCAUUCGGGUUGUAAACCGCUUUCGCCUGUGACGAAGCGUGAGUGACGGUAAUGGGUAAAGAAGCACCGGCUAACUACGUG
RNAcentral lists this ribosomal RNA (468 nucleotides) under uncultured bacterium. RNAcentral's name for it is "partial 16S ribosomal RNA". It matches the Rfam family "Bacterial small subunit ribosomal RNA", at positions 28 to 507 of the family's 1533-position model. The record is from RNAcentral.